UACGGGAGGCAGCAGUGGGGAAUAUUGCACAAUGGGCGCAAGCCUGAUGCAGCCAUGCCGCGUGUAUGAAGAAGGCCUUCGGGUUGUAAAGUACUUUCAGUCGUGAGGAAGGUGUUAAGGUUAAUAACCUUAGCAAUUGACGUUAGCGACAGAAGAAGCACCGGCUAACUCCGUGCCAGCAGCCGCGGUAAUACGGAGGGUGCGAGCGUUAAUCGGAAUUACUGGGCGUAAAGGGCACGCAGGCGGUUAAUUAAGUUGGAUGUGAAAUCCCCGGGCUUAACCUGGGAAUGGCAUUCAAGCUGGUUAGCUAGAGUCUUGUAGAGGGGGUAGAAUUCCAUGUGUAGCGGUGAAAUGCGUAGAGAUGUGGAGGAAUACCGGUGGCGAAGGCGGCCCCUGGGACAAAGACUGACGCUCAUGUGCGAAAGCGUGGGGAGCAAACGAGGAUUAGAUACC
RNAcentral lists this ribosomal RNA (453 nucleotides) under uncultured bacterium. RNAcentral's name for it is "bacterial SSU rRNA". It matches the Rfam family "Bacterial small subunit ribosomal RNA", at positions 340 to 786 of the family's 1533-position model. The record is from RNAcentral.